GAUGAACGCUGGCGGCGUGCCUAAUACAUGCAAGUCGAGCGAACGGACGAGAAGCUUGCUUCUCUGAUGUUAGCGGCGGACGGGUGAGUAACACGUGGAUAACCUACCUAUAAGACUGGGAUAACUUCGGGAAACCGGAGCUAAUACCGGAUAAUAUUUUGAACCGCAUGGUUCAAAAGUGAAAGACGGUCUUGCUGUCACUUAUAGAUGGAUCCGCGCUGCAUUAGCUAGUUGGUAAGGUAACGGCUUACCAAGGCAACGAUGCAUAGCCGACCUGAGAGGGUGAUCGGCCACACUGGAACUGAGACACGGUCCAGACUCCUACGGGAGGCAGCAGUAGGGAAUCUUCCGCAAUAGGCGAAAGCCUGACGGAGCAACGCCGCGUGAGUGAUGAAGGUCUUCGGAUCGUAAAACUCUGUUAUUAGGGAAGAACAUAUGUGUAAGUAACUGUGCACAUCUUGACGGUACCUAAUCAGAAAGCCACGGCUAACUACGUGC
This 498-nucleotide ribosomal RNA is filed under the name uncultured bacterium. Its description in RNAcentral is "partial 16S ribosomal RNA". It matches the Rfam family "Bacterial small subunit ribosomal RNA", at positions 28 to 508 of the family's 1533-position model. The record is from RNAcentral.